Molecule: long non-coding RNA, 1715 nt
Filed under: Homo sapiens (human)
Lineage: Eukaryota; Metazoa; Chordata; Mammalia; Primates; Hominidae
Description: HSALNT0193970
Source: RNAcentral
GUGAGAUUUGACUCUAGAUUGUCAGGCUGCAAACCUAUAUUCCAAACCUCAGAGAAAAUAAGUUCGCUAACACCCUGGUCUUUCAUCUUCUCUGCUCCUCACAACAAUAAGCUUGUUCAUGCAUUUCGAGCAAAAUCUGGUAAUGUGUUUCUUCUCAAUUUGAUUAUUCAGUAACUCACUUUCACAUGUGACCCUUAAAAAUUUAAGCAAUAACAUCUACUCCAAAGAUGUCAAAUCACCUUAUAUUCACGGAUAGAAUUAAUUUUGCAACUGUGAAAAUUCUACCACAUGCGUAACAUCCAACAGACAUAUCAAUAGAGUAGAGGUGGUAUUUUAAGUUACAAUCAGGUUGUUGAGUCAUCCCUUCCUCCCCUCCACCCUGGCAAACCCCCCUGCUGCUAUUCCUUUCAUGUGCCUUUCCACUCCUAAUUUGGUUGUCUCCCCUUAAUUUGACUAUGACACAUUCUUUCCUACAGGUUGCCAAACAUCCUUGUUAUGGGACUCAAGAAAAAGCCACGUAAAAGGAAAGAAAGCUUUCCUUUCCUCUCUGGCCUGUCAAAGGGCAUUCUCCCCGCACCCAGACUCCUAAAGAGGAAGGAUUCUUGCUUAUGGAAGGAAAGCUAGGCAAAGAUCAAGGAGAAGACUGUUUCUGGAAGAGGCAGAGGGAACAGACAACGCGAAGUCCCUAAAUGGGAACAAGUUUGAGUUAUUGGAGGAAGUCGGUGUGAGUGGAGUUUAGGGGAAGGCAGGGAGUUACAAAAUGAGGUUGGAGUGAUGGGCAGAGGUUAGAUCCUGCAGCACUCUGAAGUUCAGGAAAGAUUUCAGAGUCUAUUCUAAGUGUAGGGGAAAAUAAAUGACUUAAAACCUUCCAUUGGAAGGUUUUAAGAAGAGGAGUAGUGUUAUGAACCAAAUGUGUAUGUCUCCCCAAAAUUCAUAUGUUGAAAUCCUAACCUCCAAUGUGAUGGUGUUAGGAGGUGGGUCUUUCAGGGGUGAUUAGGUCAUGAGGGUAGAGCCUCAUGAAUGGGAUUAGUGCCCUUAUGACAAGAGACAGGAGAGCUUGCCGUCCUUCCGCACUCCAGCAUGUGAAGAUUCAAGAAGAUGGCCAUCUGUAAAACCAGGAAGUGGAUCCUCACCAAAUACUGGAUUGGCCAAGCACCUUGAUCUUGAACUUCUCAGCCUUCAGAACUGUACACAGUGUCUGUGUGUUCCCUGCUCUUGGAUCUCUGACUUGAGUGAAUCUGCUCCAACUGCCUCAGCCAGCCCUGGCCUUGGUCUUUCUGGCAAGACAUCCUAGAAGACUGUAUUUUGCUAAGACUGCAACUGCCAGCCACAAGCUUGAUGAGCAGCCUAGGGAAUGUGGCUCACCCCUGUCCAUGGGCUUUGGAGUGAUGAAGACCCUCAAAGAUCAGCUCUCAUUUCUGCCUGGUUAACUCCUAUCCAGCCUCCAAAUCUCAUCCCAAGCAUUACUCUUAUGGGGAAGCCUUUCCUGGUCUCCUUGACUAGUCAAACCUCUCUCAUAAGCAUGCAUAGCACAGGCUCCUUUCCUUCACAGCCCCUGUCAUGGUCAUUUUUUUUUUUUUUUUUGAGACAGAGUCUCACUAUGUUGCCCACACUGGAGGGCAGUGGUGCAAUCUCGGCUCUCUGCAACCUCUGCCUCCCAGUUUCAAGCGAUUCUCCUGCCUCAGCCUCCCGAAUAGCUGGGGCUACAGGUGCGU